This 670-nucleotide long non-coding RNA is filed under the name Musa acuminata (dwarf banana). Its description in RNAcentral is "long non-coding RNA (MACU_LNC001444)". The record is from RNAcentral. Lineage: Eukaryota; Viridiplantae; Streptophyta; Magnoliopsida; Zingiberales; Musaceae.
AUUUCUAAGAUGUGUGUGCAUAUAUGAAGAUUUGAGAGGUUAGUUUGCAAGUGUAAAACAUUUUAAAUUUUGAACUUAUCAAAUGCUAAACUUAAAGCUUCAUUAAAUUUUUUCCCUAUGAAAAGUUUCCUGAUACUAAACAUAUUUUCAAACUAUGUUCUUGGAAUGUGAUUAUGAACCCAAGCUAACGUCCACAUUGGAUGCAGGACUAAUCAAAUCGAGGAUCAAAAUCUUCGGUGGAUGAAGAUUCACGAUGAUGCAUAUAAACAAUUGUUCCUUAGGGAUGGAUGGAUGGAUGGCAGCUCAUAUACUAACUACUAACAGUACUGGUACCUGAUGUGAAAUUAAUGGAUUAGGUUAUCAUUAAAUGUGUCAUCAAAAUUCAAACAACAUAUGGGAGACUUGUACCUUUUGUUGAGCUCUUAACUGAAGAUAUUCAAGAGUCACUCACCUUCACGGGACAACAUCUUGAAGUGUUGAACAAUCCAGCCUUACGAGGACAAAACCAAAUAUGCCAGAAGUGUUGACAAAAUGCUUCAAUCUGAUUUGUUCGUACUAUGCAAUUGAUUUGUUCCUACUAUUUGCAUCUGCAGAUUUCUUCCGCUGUCCAAAGAUCGCAUGACUGCUGGAAUCAUUAAUAGUGUAAUGUGACCACGGACACAUGAAUCAG